RNAcentral lists this ribosomal RNA (422 nucleotides) under uncultured bacterium. RNAcentral describes it as "bacterial SSU rRNA". It matches the Rfam family "Bacterial small subunit ribosomal RNA", at positions 355 to 774 of the family's 1533-position model. The record is from RNAcentral.
UGAGGAAUAUUGGUCAAUGGGUGCAAGCCUGAACCAGCCAUCCCGCGUGAAGGACGACUGCCCUAUGGGUUGUAAACUUCUUUUGUAUAGGGAUAAACCUACCCUCGUGAGGGUAGCUGAAGGUACUAUACGAAUAAGGAUCGGCUAACUCCGUGCCAGCAGCCGCGGUAAUACGGAGGAUCCGAGCGUUAUCCGGAUUUAUUGGGUUUAAAGGGUGCGCAGGCGGGAUGUUAAGUCGGCGGUGAAAUUUUGCAGCUCAACUGUAAAAGGGCCUUCGAUACUGGCCUCCUUGAGUGUGGAGGAANUAGGCGGAAUUUGUGGUGUAGCGGUGAAAUGCUUAGAUAUCACGAGGAACUCCGAUUGCGCAGGCAGCUUACGAAGCCACAACUGACGCUCAUGCACGAAGGCGUGGGGAUCAAACA